AUAUUACCGAAGCUGUGGAUUGUCCUUUGGACAAUGGUAGGAGAGCGUUCUAAGGGCGUUGAAGCAUGAUCGUAAGGACAUGUGGAGCGCUUAGAAGUGAGAAUGCCGGUGUGAGUAGCGAAAGACGGGUGAGAAUCCCGUCCACCGAUUGACUAAGGUUUCCAGAGGAAGGCUCGUCCGCUCUGGGUUAGUCGGGUCCUAAGCUGAGGCCGACAGGCGUAGGCGAUGGAUAACAGGUUGAUAUUCCUGUACCACCUAUAAUCGUUUUAAUCGAUGGGGGGACGCAGUAGGAUAGGCGAAGCGUGCGAUUGGAUUGCACGUCUAAGCAGUAAGGCUGAGUAUUAGGCAAAUCCGGUACUCGUUAAGGCUGAGC
RNAcentral lists this ribosomal RNA (373 nucleotides) under Staphylococcus aureus. RNAcentral's name for it is "partial 23S ribosomal RNA". It matches the Rfam family "Bacterial large subunit ribosomal RNA", at positions 1188 to 1561 of the family's 2925-position model. Lineage: Bacteria; Bacillati; Bacillota; Bacilli; Caryophanales; Staphylococcaceae. The record is from RNAcentral.